AUUCCAGCUCUGUAAGCGUAUACCAAAGUUGUUGCAGUUAAAACGCUCGUAGUCGGAUUUUGGUAGUUCCGGAUGUGUGCGCGUCGUGCGCGCACUUUGCAGGGGCUGCUUUUGUGGGUAUGCGUGGCAUGAGGCGACUUUAUUGUUGAACGUGUCUACGCGACCACCUUUUACUGUGAAAAAAUUAGAGUGUUCAAAGCAGGCAUUUGUCGUGAAUACAUUAGCAUGGAAUAAUAGAAUAGGACUUGGUUCUAUUUUGUUGGUUUGUUGGGAUCGAGUAAUGAUUAAGAGGGACAGUUGGGGGCAUUUGUACUCCGGAGCUAGAGGUGAAAUUCUUAGAUUUCCGGAAGACAAACAGCUGCGAAAGCGUCUGCCAAGGAUGUUUUCAUCA
RNAcentral lists this ribosomal RNA (391 nucleotides) under Phymatolithon sp. RNAcentral describes it as "partial small subunit ribosomal RNA". It matches the Rfam family "Eukaryotic small subunit ribosomal RNA", at positions 582 to 975 of the family's 1831-position model. Lineage: Eukaryota; Rhodophyta; Florideophyceae; Hapalidiales; Hapalidiaceae. The record is from RNAcentral.